AUUCGGCCCUAUUGCACUGUUUUAGUUUUAGCUAUGAUUUACACAUAUGGAAUUUGCAUGCAAUUACUACAGACAAAGAACUCUGUUUUUUUUGUUUUUUUUUUGUCUUCAGUAGUAUUAGUUGAAAGCAGCUGUGCUAAUGGAGCAGCAGAGACUAACGGAGCAGGUUUUCAUAGGCCAGUCUCCAUUCUCUCUGCCUGUCAAAGCAUGUUUGGGCAUCUGGCAAUGAUUUGAAUCCCUCAAGUCAAGCUUCAGUUACAGGGUGGGUCCUGAACAACAGGGUCCUGAAAAACC
Sinocyclocheilus anshuiensis is the source of this 294-nucleotide long non-coding RNA. RefSeq lists it as uncharacterized. The transcript is spliced from 3 exons. Lineage: Eukaryota; Metazoa; Chordata; Actinopteri; Cypriniformes; Cyprinidae. The record is from RefSeq and is a predicted model, not a curated record.